This is a long non-coding RNA of Dermacentor albipictus, 1322 nucleotides long. RefSeq lists it as uncharacterized. The record is from RefSeq and is a predicted model, not a curated record. NCBI's taxonomy places the organism in Eukaryota, Metazoa, Arthropoda, Arachnida, Ixodida, Ixodidae.
GGCGGCUGCAUGUUGUUGGUGGUCAGCCAUGAGAACUACUCUGACUCAUCUUGUAUCUAAAUUGUACCGGCGUAGGAGCAUCUGGCAUUUCUUUCGCCGUGUAUACAAUGCUGUACUUCGACAAGUACAGAGCCACAGCCACAGCCGCCAAGUACGUCGGCUUGGCUUCAUCGGGAAUGGUUGGGCCCCUGUUUUUUUCGGCCGCCGUAUCAAAUUACGGCUUAGGAGGAAGCUUCCUUAUCGGCGCAGCUAUAGCUAUGAAUGCCUUGCCACUAGAGAUUUUUCUUGGCAUCCCACGUCCAAUCGUAUUUAGGUUUCAGUGGUGCAAUAUGCGGAACAUGUCAGUGACCGAACACAAAACCAGAAAUCUUACGAAAGGAAGCUGCAAGGAUGAACGCGGAAUUCAGAAAGAUUCAAACAGCGCCAGGCCAGCUAAUACUGCGUCCCCAUGUGAAUCAAAUUUAAGUGUGCUGGCCCGAAAUGUAGAUCUUCCUGAGGAGUUCUGCGACAACAAAAUCACUAGUGACGGGAAGGCUUUCCAAGCACAACCUCUACUAGGCGCCAAAACCUCUACUCGCAAUAGCGAAUCUCAUAAAUGCGGUUCAACAUGUCUUGACCACGACGAGCGCGUUUCUACGGAACGCCGGCAGCUACCGUCUUGCAGUUGUUGCCUUCUGAGUCGAGUAAAAGCAUCUCGGAACAACUGUCUCUCUUCCGUCAGCUUGCCUUCUACGUACUGCUCGUCGUGUACGCCCUCUGCGAUUGGACAGUAUCGAUGCACACUACGAUCAUUGUGGACUACGGCCGUGACAAGGGAUCUCCGCUCGAGAAGGCAAAGUUAGUGCUCACCUACAACGCAGCGGGUCAGUUCGCCGGAAGGACGCUUUUGCCUUUCGCCUCGGACAACGUAGCUCACAGCCGGUGUCCAUUGGCUGUUGCCUGCUUCAUCGGAUCCGGCGCCUGCUUGGCGUUCAUGCCGUCCGUGCAGUCCCUAUCUGCCUUUGUCGCACUGAACCUGGUGCUAGGAGUGUGUCAGGGUUUUGCGACCUGUAUACGAAGCGUGAUGGUUAACGACUACUGUGGAGUCGAGCGGCUGCCUACGUUCUUCGGCACGCUUGGACUGACGCUGGUGCCGCUGUCAUCCAGCGGGCCUACAAUCAUAGGUUUCUUCCGCGACACCCUGGGAUCGUACGACAGCCUCUACUGGAUGAUGGGAGCGUUGAAUAUUUGCAUCGCGGCUCUGCUGUUCGUUCUUGUGUGGCGCGACAAGACGCGGAGAAAAUCGUGCGACCUACCUAGAGCAACAAUGGGACAUGGAAACG